Cinara cedri is the source of this 719-nucleotide non-coding RNA. NCBI's taxonomy places the organism in Eukaryota, Metazoa, Arthropoda, Insecta, Hemiptera, Aphididae. The record is from the annotation of a GenBank genome assembly.
AAGAAUUGAGCAGAUCUUUAAAAAAUAGUCCUCAUACAUAAGUCCACUUUCACUUCUUUUAUCAUACAUGUAGGCCAUUUGCUGUAAUAUUAGAAGUAAAUCGAUUUCUAAAGUGAUAAAUUCUCCAGGUAUUUGGCCGAAACGUUUAUUUUGAUGCUUGGUAAUAAUCUCUGCCCCUUUAUUGAGAUUAUAUUUUGUCUGAAAUUCGUUUACGAUAUUAUUAAACUUACUUCUUUCAUUAGUUGAUCCGAACGUUGUUGUAACUUUACUUGGAAUGUCUGGAACAAUAAUAUGCACUAUCAACGUAUAAAACACCAAUUUUAGAGCAUUAAAUGCCAUUGUACUCUUAUGUUGUGGGAUGUGAUAAAAUGUGUACCUUUUAUGAAUGGAAACUUUUAAAACUCGUUUAUACGUAUUUCCGUUUCCGUUUAGGGUACUAGUAUUAUCGAACAAACAUUUUUUUGAGCACUUUUAUAUUUAUGUUAUAUUGAUUUAGGAGUACUAAUGCAUAUACUAAUGUAGGUACCUGUUCCGAAAUAAAAUUUGUCAACUUGUAUGUAUGUGUUAUCUGUGCAUUUAGUAUGAUAGUAGCAAAAUUAUGCAGGUAUCUAUAACUAACUAUUAAUGAUUAACGGGCACUAAAGUAAGGCUGUAUCGAGCGAUAAUUAAUUUAUAUAUUUUCUACGUUCCCGAUAUUUUUUACGUCAUAAAUCAGUAUG